RNAcentral lists this long non-coding RNA (1363 nucleotides) under Vigna radiata. RNAcentral describes it as "long non-coding RNA (VRAD_LNC001014)". Lineage: Eukaryota; Viridiplantae; Streptophyta; Magnoliopsida; Fabales; Fabaceae. The record is from RNAcentral.
UUUAUUUGAAACAUGUCAAACUAGAAGAAGUCAAGAAGAAGAAAAUAAACAUAAGCCAUAAGAUUAUUCAAAACUCGGUCAUUUAGAAUCUUCUAAAAUGUGAAAGAACAUAUAAAAAAUUGCAAGACAUAAUAAUAUUUACCAUAUUUGUCUUAUUUCAGAUGAAAAGAACAAAAUUGAUGAGACUAACUUGUUGGGUCAUGUCCUCCUUGGUUUGGGUCGCCUGGAACACCUGAAUCUCCUUAAUGACCGCUCCAUCUCCUGCUGUUUGACCGUUCGGUAUUGACACAAACAGCUCGAUCUCCUUCUUCUCAUAGGGGGGAGGUACCUGCAAAAGGCAUUCCGACGCCAAGUUAGGCGUGUUGAUGAAGAACUUUAGUUCUUGACUAAAUACUUAGUGAAUGAUUAACACUUUUUGAGUUUUUUGAGAGUAGUGAAGUGUGAAUAAUGCGUACCUGGCUUGUGACCCUAUUCUCUAUUUAUAAGUUGUCUUAUGGACCCUAAAAUGACAUAAGCCCAAUAAAAUAUAAACAGAAUAAAAUAUAAACAAACUUACCACAAAUCUAGCUAAAAAUCUAGCUAAUAUCUUUCAUCAGAUAGGGGGUUACUCCCUGUACCUCCCCAGUUCCAACCCCCACCCCCCCAAUUUUUUUGGACUUUUUUUAAAAUACAAAAUUAACCUUUAUGUUAUUUUUAUUUUUACCGUUUUACCCCUACUUAGUAAAGUUAACCUACCUACCUCUUUUACAGUCUGCCUCAGUCAAAACACAUAGACUCAGAUUCCUCUCCUUCGUAUUCCCACCCCCACCCCAACCAAAGCUUUUGAACGCUCCUCCUCCAAACGCUCUCUGCAACUCUCACUCUCCCAUUCCUCGAAGGUUCUGUUUGUGCGGCCUGGUGCUCUUGGGCGGUGCGGUUGUGGUUGCUGCGCAGAGGGUGCUAUAUCCUAAAAAAUAAAACUAAUAAAAACAAAUCCUAAAAAAUGGAACUAAUAAAAACAAAUCUUGAAAAAGUAAACUAAUAAAAACAAAUCUUAAAAAAUAAAACUAAUAAAAUAAAAAUCUAAUAUAAACAAAUCUUAAAAAAUAAAACUAAUAAAAACAAAUCCUAGAAAAUAAACUAAUAAAAACAAAUCUUAAAAAAUAAAAUUAAUAAAAACAAAUCUUAAAAAAUAAAACUAAUAAAAACAAAUCCUAAAAAAUAAACUAAUAAAAACAAAUCUUAAAAAAUAAAAUUAAUAAAAACAAAUCUUAAAAAAUAAAACUAACAAAAACAUAAUAUAAUCUAAAAACGCUUAAACGGAUCUAGAAAUCCGUCAACGGAUGUCAACAUCCGUUUAAGGGUAAAUGGAAGUCGUCAUCCG